ACGUAGGGUCCAAGCGUUAUCCGGAUUUACUGGGCGUAAAGCGUCUGUAGGCGGCCACGCAAGUUGGGUGCGAAAUUUUGGGGCUCAACCCCGAAACUGUGCUCAAAACUGUUUGGCUCGAGGUAGGUAGAGGUGCAUGGAAUUUCUGGUGUAGGGGUGACAUCCGUAGAUAUCAGAAGGAACACCAAUGGCGAAGGCAGUGCACUGGGCCUUACCUGACGCUGAGAGACGAAAGCGUGGGGAGCGAACGGGAUUAGAUACCCCGGUAGUCCACGCCGUAAACGAUGGUCGCUAGUUGUAUGGAGUUUCGACCCUCUGUGCAGCAAAGCUAACGCGUUAAGUGACCGGCCUGGGGACUACGAGCGCAAGCUUA
Molecule: ribosomal RNA, 373 nt
Filed under: uncultured bacterium
Lineage: Bacteria
Description: bacterial SSU rRNA
Rfam family: Bacterial small subunit ribosomal RNA
Source: RNAcentral